GAAGUGUGGACGCCAGUCUGCAUGGAGCCGACCUUGAAAUACCACCCUUUAAUGUUUGAUGUUCUAACGUUGACCCGUAAUCCGGGUUGCGGACAGUGUCUGGUGGGUAGUUUGACUGGGGCGGUCUCCUCCUAAAGAGUAACGGAGGAGCACGAAGGUUGGCUAAUCCUGGUCGGACAUCAGGAGGUUAGUGCAAUGGCAUAAGCCAGCUUGACUGCGAGCGUGACGGCGCGAGCAGGUGCGAAAGCAGGUCAUAGUGAUCCGGUGGUUCUGAAUGGAAGGGCCAUCGCUCAACGGAUAAAAGGUACUCCGGGGAUAACAGGCUGAUACCGCCCAAGAGUUCAUAUCGACGGCGGUGUUUGGCACCUCGAUGUCGGCUCAUCACAUCCUGGGGCUGAAGUAGGUCCCAAGGGUAUGGCUGUUCGCCAUUUAAAGUGGUACGCGAGCUGGGUUUAGAACGUCGUGAGACAGUUCGGUCCCUAUCUGCCGUGGGCGCUGGAGAACUGAGGGGGGCUGCUCCUAGUACGAGAGGACCGGAGUGGACGCAUCACUGGUGUUCGGGUUGUCAUGCCAAUGGCACUGCCCGGUAGCUAAAUGCGGAAGAGAUAAGUGCUGAAAGCAUCUAAGCACGAAACUUGCCCCGAGAUGAGUUCUCCCUGACCCUUUAAGGGUCCUGAAGGAACGUUGAAGACGACGACGUUGAUAGGCCGGGUGUGUAAGCGCAGCGAUGCGUUGAGCUAACCGGUACUAAUGAACCGUGAGGCUUAACCUUACAACGCCGAAGCUGUU
This 789-nucleotide ribosomal RNA is filed under the name Escherichia coli. RNAcentral describes it as "partial 23S ribosomal RNA". It matches the Rfam family "Bacterial large subunit ribosomal RNA", at positions 2159 to 2925 of the family's 2925-position model. The record is from RNAcentral. Lineage: Bacteria; Pseudomonadati; Pseudomonadota; Gammaproteobacteria; Enterobacterales; Enterobacteriaceae.